ACCCGACAGAAAAACAAGAGAAAGUCACAUUCAUAUCAAACCCUCCAGACAAUGUUUUCACUUGGAAGAUACUUCGUUUCUCUACCUUGGAAGAUAAAUUCUAUUACUCUGAUGAUUUUCUUGUUGGAGACCGAUACUGGUUAGUGCUCUUGGCUAGACUAAAGUCUAAAUUAAGCUCAAGGCUUGCAACUGUUAUGUGAAUCCCGUAGUGGCCAAGUAUAAUAACGGGAUUUGUUUUUAAUGUAUAUUCAGGAGACUAGGAUUUAACCCGAAAGGAUCUGGUGGAGGAAGACCACAUGCACUUCCAAUCUUCCUAUAUGCUCAAGGCCAUAAGGCAAACGCAGUUGUUACAAACACUUGGGGAGCGGUUAAUCUGCGGUUAAAGAAUCAACGAAGCUCCAACCACAAACAAUUAUAUUGUAAGAAAACUAAAAAAAAAAGGCUUAAUUAACUCUAGGAGUGAAAAUCAUCAAUGAAUAGUAAGGAUAUAAAUUGUUUUUUUUUUUUUUCUAUCUUUGCAGCUGCAGCUUGGUACCCGAUUCGAAGCGAUUAUGGUGUGGGAGUGAACAAUAUAAUAUUGAUGUCAGAGCUAAAAGAUGCAUCAAAAGGGUAUAUGGUGAAUGAUGCCAUUAUCUUUGAAGCUGAAAUGGUUAAGGUCUCUGUGACAAACAUAGUCUCCGUUUAAAUAUCACUACUUCUUUUUCAACAACAACCUUACGAAUAAAGUGGACUUUGAUGAGUUUAAUUUGUUAUACGACAACGUUGUUGAUGCUUGUGAUGUAAUCGUUGUUUCUGCUCUCCGAGUUUUCGUUUUACUUUUUUUUUCAUGUUUUGCUAUCAAUGAAAUAAAGGUAUAAAACUCUCUUGGUUUUAAAGUAUUUUAAAGAUCCAUGUUAGGGAAAGCUGGAAGGUUAAAUUACAAAAAUAAACUCAACCAUUGGAAAACAUUUUUUAUAGCCAAAUUCAAACAGAAGUGCAGGAUCAAUAGACAAAAUGAGUUUAAAGCACGUAAAUGACGACAUGGUUAUGUUUGGUGUAUAUAUGUGGAAGAAUGGAUAUAAUUAGUUAUUUCAGCUAGAAAAUCACAGAAAGAACCCUGAUUUAAGAGCUCUAGUGGUUGAUGAAAUGUUUUUGAGAUAUUAAUAGAAAGUUGCUAGAGUAUAACCAAUGUAGUUUGGUGUAGUCACCUCCUCAGAUUAAGGCAUAAAGACUUUCGCAGAGUGAUGUUUUAACAGGGUCUAGAGAAGAACAUAUAUUCAAAAGGGAAAGGACAACUUCAAAUCCAAAGUGGAAACACUAAACCCUCUAGUUCAUACCAAGGUCCAAGGACGGAAAUAUCUUAGAAGCAAUGGGUCAUGUGCCCCCGGUAAAAAAGAGAGCAUAUUAGUUGUUUGUUUUAAUUUAUUGUUAUGGACAAUUUUACAUCCUCCUAUCUCCGAGUAACAUGUGAAAUCGUCAUUGAAACAGUAAAAGUAAAGUGAAGUAAAUCCCUAUCGGGAAUUCACCGAGAAUUCGAAGAAAGGACAAAUAAAACAUAGAAGCUAAUUAUGAAGAAAGAAAGAUCAACUCAGAGAACAUUGAUUUGGUGAUGGAUGAUGAUAAGUGAUUAUAUAUAUAUAUAUAUAUAUAUAUAUAUAUAAUUUUAAAGGAAAAUGGUAGGAUAUUUUUCUUCUAAUUACUUAUGCCAAGUCUUUAGAUUACUUUUCAAUUGAAAAUGAUAAAAAAAAUUCAUGGGGCUAUUACAGGAUGAUGCACUUUUUGGGGCAGAAAUUUGAAAUAAGGCAUAAUCCAAAUGGGCUUAUGAGAUUGGGCACUUUCAACAACCUGGAAAGACUAAAUUACCCUUGAAAGAGGCAUCUUUGUUUUCGCGUGAGAUGUUUUGUUGAGGAACGGCGUGAGAGAAGCUUUGUGAAGACAAUGACAUUGGUAGACAUAAGUGUAAAAGAGAGCAUCAAAUGUGAAUAAACUGUAAAUCUUGUUACAGUAUGGAGGUUUUGAGAAUUUCAAAUAUAAACCCUAAGAAUUGGAAAACAGGGAACCCCAGGAGAAAGUGACUUAGACGACAUGUGUUCUAUGGAGGUAAGCAUUUUCAAAAAUAUAUACACUAAGGAUUGUAAUUAGGGAACCCAAGCAAUUAGGGAAUAGAGAACAAACCUAAGAGGAGAGGAGAGGACCGGAGCCAAGAUGAAUCUUGUUACAAUGAAUCAUGAGAAAUUAUCAUUUUCUCUUGUUCGCUGUAUCAAUUGCAGAGGCAGAGCAGACGGUGUUAAGCGCGAGAAAAGCAGCGAAUCAGACGGCGUUAAACGGCGCAACUUUGGCGAGAAAAGCAUCGGCGGAAGAAAAUAAUUGUACCUGAUCAGAUUAGUUGGAGAGAAAUCUCCAAAUAUAGAAACGAGUGAGUGAAUGGUCGGGUAUAUGGGCAACGACACUAGUCAGGUAGGUGGCUCUAAAAUGGGGAAAAAUUUAGAAGAUGCUUCAACAGUAGAGGAAGAAAAGAAAUAAACUAGAAAUCAAAUAAUUUAGCGGAAGCUUUGAGGGGUGAAGUUGUAAAAGAUUAGAAUGUAUAAGUACCUAAUUUGGUGAGUAAUUUGAGAUGUUCCUAAAUUCACAAAGGCAUAGAGUUUUUUGUGCCAAUCUCAUAAUUGAUCCAACUUUUCAUAUGAAACAUUUACAAAGAACAUGGUAGGAUUAUUUUCUAAAAAAUUCCUACCCGAAUAACGGAAAAUUUUGAAUUGCUUUCAAUCUCGUACCAUAUUUCUUACUAACAUUUAUGUUGCAAAAAGGUAGGAUAUUUCCUAACCUUUUUCAAAAUUUUCUUACAAAUUUCCUAUUAGUUCAGGUUUCGUCAAAAAAUCAUAGGUUAAAAUUAGGAUAUUUUCUUGUAGUAUAUAUCUUAUUAUAUAAAGUAUGAUUUUCAAAGUUACUAACUCAGAAGAUUAUGCCACUUGUUGAUUUGAUCGAUCUUAGAUUGUGACACGUGUUAGAAGAAAAUUUCUUGAAAUAAUCUUAAAACAAUAAAAUUAUAAUUAUAAGGAAAUAAAAAAAAAUGGAUAUGUAAAUAAGAUCAUUAUAAAAACCUAUAAUUAUAAGGAAACUAAACAAUUUGAAAUUUUAAAUAAGAUACAUUUAUAAAACCUAAGUUAGUAACUCAUACGAUUGUCCUAUGUGUCAAUUUAUCGAUCUUAGAUUUUGAGACAUGUAAAACAUUUUUUAUUAAUUUUAAAACAAUAUAAUAAAAUAUAACAAAUUUUUGAAACAGGAACUUGUUUAAAUAUAUAUUAUUAUUAGAUAACUCUAAAAUAUAGAUGUCAGCAAAAUACAUAAAAUGUUGAGAUGCAUAGAUAAAUUUAUAAUAGAAAGAAUCAAUAGUAUCAACGAUGUUAGAAUUAAGUACAAUCAUGUUUGAGUAAGACCUUUAGUACAAGUUAAUAAUGUUCAAAGUUUAAGUCACAUAGUAGUAGUAAUUUUGUAAACAAAAGAUAAUAACUUACAUGAUUUAAGGAUAAAUCUAGAUAGAUUGGAUAAAUUGAUAUAAGCGUUAAAAUAUUAAAUAUUGAAAAAAUUUGUGUGGUUUACUAUUUAAAAUUUAAAUAUAAAACAAUAAUAUGGAGUGAGUGUAAUUAGUAUUUUAGCUUUUAUUUUAAGAUGGAGUCUAUAGACUAAAAAUCCAGUUUAUUUUAAUAAAAUAAAUAGGUUAAUUUCAUUGUAAAAUAAUAUGUAUAAAAAUGAAAUAUAAUUUAAAAAUAUUUAGAUAAAAUGAAUAAGUAUGAAUUACUAAAAGAAUUCAAAAAUUAUUAAAAAUUCUAUUUAUUUGUCAAAUCCGCCUAUUUAGGAGAGUUUUAUCUAGUAUAUAUAUACAUGUUUCCUGUAAACUUUUAAAGGAAAAUGUUUUUCGCCAAAGAAGGGUAUUAUCAAAGUUUAUCAUUAAGAAGGGUAUUAUCAAAGUUUGAUUAUCUGGAUAGUGAUAUUGUCUUGUGCCUGGAUAAAAGACAAUCUACCUUUCCCAAAUUGUCUUGUGUUUGGACUUUGGAUAAAAGUUUGGUUAUCGGUGACAGUGAUAUUACCAUUGACACUAAAUCGAUCAUUGUAGUAAUAUAUCGUGUACAAUGUUUUGCUUAAAAAUAUAAUCAUGUUCUGCAACCCACCGGUGUUCAAAGGAAAAAAAAUAGUUUUAUGCCACCCAUUACUCCCAAAAAUCCAUCGAAAUAUUGUUAAAUAAUAGACUCAUUCUAAGUCGAAACAAAAAUAAUAUCGUUUCCCCCACCUUUUUAAUAUAUUGUAAUAUCUCGUGUACAACGUUUUGCCUAAUAAUAUAAUCAUAUUUCGAAAACUUGCCACCCACUACCUCGAGGUCUCUCCCACAAAUCUAUAAAAAUAUUGUUUAAUAAUAGAAAUGGGAACUUGCAAAAAGCAUUAAAAUAACAAUAACAUCCAAAGUCAAACAAAAACAAGAAAAAAUGAUUUGUGUAAAAACAUAUACAUAUACAUAUACAUAUACAUAUCUCUCGCUUUUCUGUUCAUCACUUCAGCUGAGUUUCUCAUUCAACAUGUAACUUUUUUUUGAAAUAUGUUGCAAAAACAAAUUCCAACAUAUUUAUAAAACUAGUAACAUUAUUAUUUAUAAUUUGCAAAAUAGGUCAUGAAUCCCUUUUUUAAUCUUUUUUUUUUUUCAUUUCCCCUCAUGUUUAAUUAUUAAACUACUUAAUAGUAUAAUAUUUUUCAAAUUUUCUAUUUAUAUACAAAAGCCUAUGUUUUUUUUUCUAUAAUUUGAUAUGUAGUGUCUAAUAAAUUCAAAAACAUUUUUAUUCAUACAUCUCAUUAAUUGUUAAGAUGUAUACAAAUUGAUACAUUUUUAUUCGUACAACUUAUUUAGUAUACAUUAGCUAUGAAUAUAUGAAUAAAAUAUGUAUAUUAUGUACAUUUGUAUACUAAAUGUGUUGUAUGACUCUUAGUAUACAAAACAACACAAAAAACUUUAUCAAAAAAAAAAAAAAAGCUCCCAGACCCGACUCCCGAGGAAACCUAAGCUUCUUCUUGCUAUGGCCUUCGUGGCCGCCGGCGAGGACCCUCCCUUGCCAGAACCCCCUGACCCGCCUGAUCCUCCCUCCAUCUUCGCCCAAACCUUCAUACCCGAUCCACCUUCUACUUCUUCUCUCUUUCCACCUUCAUCGAGUCUAGAUCUAGAUCUAUGUUCUACCGUUUCUUCCUAUGGUGUUACUCCUUUCGUUUUUUUGCGAUUCUUUACUGCUGUGUGCAGUCCCUUCUAUCAGAUCUGUACCCGUUCCGUGUCUUUGCGGUUCUUUACUGCUCUAUGCAGUCCAUGGAAACUAGCCUAUUCCCAGAUCUUGGGAUAUCCUCUCGUUUCAAGUGGAUAUGUUUCACAGGCCAUAACCUUUGAUGUCCACGCUGCCCCUCCUACCUCAACUCAGAGAGCCUCUCCUACUCGUUCCAUGGCCCAGACACGACAACGGUUUGUUACUUCUGUAAGAUGGUGUAUGUCUUUGUUUCUGGUUUUACCCCUCAUUCAAAAUUUCGUAGUGGUGCGAUUUAAUGCUGCAGUAUGCAGUCUCUUUGAACUCAAUCUGGCCUUUUGUGCUGUUUGUUUUGUUUCUCUUUCUUGGUGGCAGUUUGAAAAGAAACUAAUUAAUACACCUCGCCUGAUGAAUCUGGUUUUAUCGGGUAUUUGGUACCCUAGUAGCUUCUUAUCGGAGCUAGUUAUCUUCCCAAAGUUCCCUCCUCAGUGGAGUGGUUUGGAUGUCCAAGAGUCGUCGGUAUUGCAAGGAUCUUCCUCCCGAUUGAUGUUCUUCUCUGCAUUUGAUGCAGUUCUUGUAACCUCUUGUGUUACGUUGGAUACAGUCUUCCAAGAAUCUAGCCAGAUCGUUCUUAUUGUUCGUUUUGCCUUAUGUUAUUCUUAUGACUUCUGUUGCAUAUCUAUCUAUCCUUUAACCAUUGUUAUAUGGUCUGUUUUGGCUUCUGUUGUUGUGUUUUAUGUAGUUUUCUUCAUGUUGGUUGUAAUUCCUCUUUCUGAGGCUCCUAAAAUUUAGUGAAAACAACUAUUGGUUUGAAAAAAAAAAAAAAAAAAGAAUCUUAGUAUACAAAACAAAGAGUAAAAUUGUCUAUUUUGCAAAUUGUAAAUAGUAGUGUUACUAGUUACAUAAUUAUGUUUCCAAAAGUAACUAUAUUUCCAACAAACCCUUUUUUAAUGUAUUUUUUUGAUAGAUAUAUUAGUAGAUUUUUUUUAACAAUGGAAAACGAACAAGGUUAUAAGGGCAGAUGAGCAGAGUACAACUGUUCUUAAAGUCUCAUGGCAAAUCUUGGCACACUUGUGUUAUCUGAAAUAGCCAGUCUUUAGAUUUUCUUGUACUUUUUAUUUUGUUGAUUGGAGUUUGAAGAGUGUUGAGAGAGGAGCGACGAGGACAAUAACAAAUUUCUCAGUGAUUAAAGGUAGCAGAGAACCCUAUACAAUUAUGGGUUCCGCAUUAUCCUUUCGUAACCUAGAUUUUUUUUUUAUAUAUAGUUAAACUCCUAGCCUAAAACUAAAACACAGUUGAUGACUAAUUGGUGGAGAACCAUUAAAAAAAAAAAAAAAAGACAGAGUAGACUAACGAAACCACACCUUUACAUUUUUCUAUUUAUCUCACCUUCCUAAAUAAAAAAUAUUUAUUUUAAACAAAAACACAUUUUCUGUACAGACGUGGGUUUCGUAAUGUCCAUAAGUCCAUCCAUAGUCUACCAUAUAAUUUAACAUCUACUUCUCUCCAGUGGACGCAAAAGCUUCGAAUUGAAUGUGGGCGUUGCUUCUCUCGUGUCUAAUAUAAAAUUUGGAUAAUCAUGAAUUCUUCGAUGAUAGUGAUAUACCGUUGACACUGAGUAGUUCAUUGCAAUAAGUAAGAUCUUGUUUUUGCUAAAAAGAUUCAAUCAUAUUUUGAACACUUGCCACCCACCACUUCCAAAACUUCCACAAAUUCAUAGAUAUAGUAAUACACAGGUUACUUGACAAAAGGAAUAAAAGUACAAUAUGAUGCUUUACACAUUCUCAGUCAAACAAAAACGAUAAAAUGAAUGUGUAAGAUAAUAUUGUUUAAAAAAGAAAAAAAGAACAAAAAAAAGAUAAUAUUGUUUUCCCGACGACUAAUCCACUUUCAGUAUUUUAUAAAAUAACUGAACUCAAGUUGCUCGAUCAAACAAGUACCCUUAAAUGUCUCUCUGUCUAUAUAAAUGUACACUCUUCCCAAACAAAACCAUAUCUCAAAAUAUGAAUAAUCAAAAAUGGAGUAUAGGUUUCAUAUCUCUCGCUUUUCUCUUCAUCACUUCCUCUUCAGCUGAGUUCAUCAUUCAACAGGUAUUUUUGAUCUUAAAGCUCUUUUUCAAUGGAUUGGCUUUUUACUAAAAGUAGGUUUUAACAAUGAAACUACAAUAUAUAGGUCACAAAGGGCAGAGGAAUAGAGUACAACAGUUCUUACAGUCUCGAGGAGAAUCUUGGUACACUUGUGUAGUUGUGUUGUCUGAAAUCGUCUCUCUUUGGAAUUUCUUGGUUAAAAACAGAAACCAAUUUCUUUAUUUUCUUGGAACAUUUUUUGUGUUGAUAGGAGUGACAAGAGAGUUGAGAGAAGAGCGACCAUCGAGUAAGAUAGUGACAAUAACAAGCUUCUCAGUGAUUAAAGGCAGAGGAGAACCCUAUGAAUCCUCUGUUUUUGAGGCUGCUGGUUACAAAUGGUAAAGAUCUUACACUUUAUCAACUUUUUUUAUAAAAUAAUUAAUUCUAUUUUUUUUGAUAACGUAAUUGGGAAAAUAUAAUCAGGAGAUUGGUUUUGUACGUGAAUGGUAAUAAAAACGACGGUGGAAAUGAUCAUAUUUCCCUUUACGCAAGGAUCGAAGAGACAAACUCUCUUCCAUUAGGUUGGGAAGUGAAUGUUGAUCUCAAACUCUUUGUCCAUAAUGGGAAGCUACACAAAUAUUUGACUGUUACAGGUACUUUAAAAUGUGUAGAUUUCAAUAAUAAUUCUAGCCACUGCUAUUUUUACUUGGCAUUUGUAGAUUUCAAACAUUAGUUUCAUUAUUACAUGAACCAAGUUGAUUGUGAUUUAGAGUUUUCUUUUUUUUUGCAUAAUUGUGGAUUGUAGAUGGCUUAGUGAAGCGAUAUAACAAUGCGAAAAAAGAAUGGGGUUUCGGACAAUUGAUUCCUCGAUCAACAUUCUACAACGCGAACGAAGGUUACCUUGACCAGGACACUGGUUCUUUUGGUGCUGAGAUCUUUAUUGUUAAACCGGCUCAACAACAAGAGAAAGUUACAUUCAUAUCAAACCCUCCAAACAAUGUUUUCACUUGGAAGAUACUUCGUUUCUCUACCUUGGAAGAUAAAUUCUAUUACUCCGAUGAUUUUCUCGUUGAAGACCGAUACUGGUUAGUAAUUUUAAUAACCAAAUUAAUCUCAAAAUUUGCAACUGUUAUGUGAAUUAUGUAGUCUACUAACAUUUUUGGUUAAUGUAUAAUUAGGAGACUAGGAUUUAACCCGAAAGGGGAUGGAGGAGGAAGACCACAUGCACUUCCAAUCUUCCUAUUUGCUCAAGGCCAUAAGGCAAAUGCAGUUGCUACAAACACUUGGGGAGCGGUUAAUCUGC
RNAcentral lists this long non-coding RNA (8621 nucleotides) under Arabidopsis thaliana (thale cress). RNAcentral describes it as "long non-coding RNA (ATHA_LNC000411)". The record is from RNAcentral. Lineage: Eukaryota; Viridiplantae; Streptophyta; Magnoliopsida; Brassicales; Brassicaceae.